This 391-nucleotide ribosomal RNA is filed under the name Clostridium sp. GR1-A5. Its description in RNAcentral is "bacterial SSU rRNA". It matches the Rfam family "Bacterial small subunit ribosomal RNA", at positions 27 to 417 of the family's 1533-position model. Lineage: Bacteria; Bacillati; Bacillota; Clostridia; Eubacteriales; Clostridiaceae. The record is from RNAcentral.
GGACGAACGCUGGCGGCGUGCUUAACACAUGCAAGUCGAGCGAUGAAGCUUCCUUCGGGAAGUGGAUUAGCGGCGGACGGGUGAGUAACACGUGGGUAACCUGCCUCAAAGUGGGGGAUAGCCUUCCGAAAGGAAGAUUAAUACCGCAUAACAUAAGAUAAUCGCAUGAUUUUCUUAUCAAAGAUUUAUUGCUUUGAGAUGGACCCGCGGCGCAUUAGCUAGUUGGUAAGGUAAUGGCUUACCAAGGCAACGAUGCGUAGCCGACCUGAGAGGGUGAUCGGCCACAUUGGAACUGAGACACGGUCCAGACUCCUACGGGAGGCAGCAGUGGGGAAUAUUGCGCAAUGGGGGAAACCCUGACGCAGCAACGCCGCGUGGGUGAUGAAGGUCU